RNAcentral lists this unclassified non-coding RNA (259 nucleotides) under Rhizophydium brooksianum. RNAcentral's name for it is "partial internal transcribed spacer 2". The record is from RNAcentral. Lineage: Eukaryota; Fungi; Chytridiomycota; Chytridiomycetes; Rhizophydiales; Rhizophydiaceae.
GUAUUCAUUUUAUAUAAUUUACUGAUUUUUAUCAGUUUUUUAUAUAAAGAUUUGAAGUUUCCAUUAUUUAUUUAAUGGUACUUUUAAAACUAUAGCUUUUUAUAAUAUAGUAACGUUUGAGUUUUUAUUAUAACGAGUUGAAAAGUAUUCGAAUGAAACCUAGUUUCUUACUUAUGCCUAUUAAAUUUGUACUGAUAUUAACGAGUUAUUAUAAUAUUAAAAAGUUCAUAAACCAUAUAAAAUUAUUUAUAAUUUUGAA